ACCCUUGAAUGAAUAGGUGUGUCCAAACUUUUGACUGGUACUCUGUGCCUUCCUCGGCGCAUCCCAUGUUCUACCCUCUUCAAGAGGCCUUUAAGAUUGUAGAGCCCAACAUAUCGAGAGGUAGGCAAUGUUGUCUACCAAAACUCUACUGUUCUACAAACGUUAGCACCGGCAAAUGAGUCUAUCACAGUGGUGUAGUCAUGUCAACAAAAACCAUGACUGGUAAGAAGAGUGAAUUCGAUCUGCACUCAGAUCUCCCAAUAGUCAUAACUGUUUCCAUGGAUUACCCAGAAUGUAACUCUGAUGUUGAGGAACACUUCCAUUCCUGUUUGCAAUCCCCCAAUAACCUAUAUGAAACCCCAUAAGCAUACAUGAUCUGGGUUCAAAUACUAUUUGAAAUAAUCUCACACACUUUAGCAGGGCUUGAUUGAGCUUGCCUGGCACAGUGGAACCAAUAGAACAGUUGCAAAGCUGCAAAACCCACCCGUCUGGCACUUCAGUCUGACUAAACCAAACACUAAAAGUAUGGAAAGAUUUCAAAUAGUAUUUGAACCCAGGUCUGCAGUGCAUUAUGAAAAAGGCAGUCUGUGUGUGUGUGUGUUGUAAUAUGCAGUGUUAUAAAUGAUUCCACUGUGGAUAGGCGAGGCCUAUUUCUCUGUCUUCCUAUUAUCCCUGUGAGCCACCUCAUUUCCCCUUUCCUGAUAUAUGUGUCACCACGUACUGCUUUGUAAUUUACCAUCUGCAUAAGUGGACCGACCGCAUUUGUGUGAGUGUGUGUUUCUGUGUGUGUGUGUGUGUGUGUGUGUGUCGUCUGUGCGUGCGUACGUCUGUGUGUGUGUUUUGUAAACAGGUAAUGGUUCCUAGAAGUGGUGAUUACAGUGGCUCUUAUGGUUAACAACCAAGCAAGGUUGUUAUGGGUGUUAGUGCUCUUGUCUCAUCAGUCUCCAAUGUGUGUGUGUACGCGUGUAUUUAUGUGUGUAAGCGAUGUAGGCCAAGCGCUGUGAGCAGAAUGCGAGUUGACGAGCAUCUCCUCAGGCGACCUAGCCAAGCAGAUGGGGAAGGCUGUACAGUAUGUCAUUAAGUUACGGUGUAAAUAGCAGGAUGCACUGGGUAACAAACAGGAAGAAGGAGAGAUGGAGAAGGUGGAGGAGAGGAGAGAAGAAGAGAUAUAGAAAGAGAGUGGGAGAGGGCUAGCAGGAGAGAGCAGAAGCCUGGCGACGCUAAUUCGCCCAAAGUGAGACUGUGUAGCCUGUCUGGGGGUCUCACACACACACACACACACACACACACACACACACACACACACACACACACACACACACACACACACACACACACACACACACACACACAUACACCCCUAAUCCUGCUCCGCUUCCUUAUCACAGCCAUCAGUGGGUGAAGUCAUGUGUACCGGUAUGAGUCUGUACGAGCCUUUUUGCAGUCAGAUCAGAUCCGGUGAUGAGAGCUUCUCUACUGGACAUCUAGGAUGAACUCACUCACUCACGAUCAGCCCAUGGCCAUACACCCACUGAUCACCUAUUGAAUAUCAGACAUUGAUGUUUAAAAAAAAACGAUGGGUAUCUCUUUUUUAUGCCCGUUCAGAUUUCUGUAUGAUAUUCCUGAUGCAUGUUUGAGAGAACUCCUAUUACUAAUGCUUUACCAACGACCCCCUGCGAGCCCCUGCGAGCCCCUGUGAGCCAUGAUGGGAAAACUCGGUGAAAACAGGCCGGCAGAUGUACAGCUACAUAUACUAGAGCUGAAGCCUGAAUACUGGUCAAGUGGAAAUAGAGGCAGAGAGAGGAUCAUCACCGCUAGGGAGGGAUGAGGUUUUAUAGGUCAAACAACCGUUAUUCAAGAGACCUUUUAACAUGGUGACCUUUUGGUCAGCUGGCUAAGGUCAUUACCUAACACCUCUGGGUGAUAACCUGUGAGUGCGUGUUAAGGAUUUACACCCGGAUAAGACCAAACCGAAGCCCUACAUCCCGGCCCACCGCGCAGAAAUAGCACUCUGUCAUCAGUCACAACGCCGUUGUGGUCAGGGACCUUGGUGAGAAGUAACGGAUUGAUGCCCUGUCAAGACCAUGCCAGCCGUGUCAUAAAUAUCUGCUAGCGACUGCCAAUUGCUGUGUCACUGUUAGGCCUUCAGUGGUACCCGGCCCUGGGAGUUUCUUCUUUUUACCUCAGCU
Molecule: long non-coding RNA, 2189 nt
Filed under: Salmo salar (Atlantic salmon)
Lineage: Eukaryota; Metazoa; Chordata; Actinopteri; Salmoniformes; Salmonidae
Description: lncRNA (ENSSSAG00000121593.1)
Source: RNAcentral